RNAcentral lists this ribosomal RNA (440 nucleotides) under uncultured bacterium. RNAcentral's name for it is "partial 16S ribosomal RNA". It matches the Rfam family "Bacterial small subunit ribosomal RNA", at positions 339 to 795 of the family's 1533-position model. The record is from RNAcentral.
CUACGGGUGGCUGCAGCAGGGAAUAUUGCACAAUGGACGGAAGUCUGAUGCAGCGACGCCGCGUGGAUGAUGAAGGCCUUCGGGUUGUAAAAUCCUUUUCAGGGAGAAGAGGAAGGACGGUAUCCCUGGAAUAAGCGUCGGCUAACUACGUGCCAGCAGCCGCGGUAAUACGUAGGACGCAAGCGUUAUCCGGAUUUACUGGGCGUAAAGCGUCUGUAGGCGGUUUAGUAAGUUUGAUGUGAAAGCUCCAGGCUCAACUUGGAGAGUGCAUUGAAUACUGCUAGACUUGAGGGGAUCAGAGGAAAGCGGAAUUUCCGGUGUAGCGGUAAAAUGCGCAGAUAUCGGAAAGAACACCAGUGGCGAAGGCGGCUUUCUGGGAUCAACCUGACGCUGAGAGACGAAAGCUAGGGUAGCGAACAGGAUUAGAUACCCCCGUAGUC